UGGGGAAUCAUGGUCAAUGGGCGAAAGCCUGAACCUGCGACGCCGCGUGAGUGAUGAGGGUCGUAAGAUCGUAAAACUCUUUUCAGGGAUCUUAAAGCCUGUCUGUCAACAACAGGCAGGUCUGACUCUCCCUGGCAGAAGCCCCAGCCAACUACGUGCCAGCAGCUGCGGUAAUACGUAGGGGGCGAGCGUUAUUCGGAAUUACUGGGUGUAAAGGGUAUGUCGGCGGCCCUUCCAGUCGCGUGUCAAAGUCCAGUGCUCAACGCUGGGGGUGCGCGCGAAACGGACGGGCGUGAGGGCUGGAGAGGUGAGCGGAAUUCCCGGUGUAGUGGUAAAAUACGUAGAGAUCGGGAGGAACACCAGCGGCGCAGGCGGCUCACUAGACAGUUUCUGACGCUAAGAUACGAAAGCGUGGGGAGCAAACA
This 425-nucleotide ribosomal RNA is filed under the name uncultured prokaryote. Its description in RNAcentral is "bacterial SSU rRNA". It matches the Rfam family "Bacterial small subunit ribosomal RNA", at positions 355 to 774 of the family's 1533-position model. The record is from RNAcentral.